AACGCGAAGAACCUUACCAGCCCUUGACAUGUCCAGGACCGGUCGCAGAGAUGUGACCUUCUCUUCGGAGCCUGGAACACAGGUGCUGCAUGGCUGUCGUCAGCUCGUGUCGUGAGAUGUUGGGUUAAGUCCCGCAACGAGCGCAACCCCCGUCCUUAGUUGCUACCAUUUAGUUGAGCACUCUAAGGAGACUGCCGGUGAUAAGCCGCGAGGAAGGUGGGGAUGACGUCAAGUCCUCAUGGCCCUUACGGGCUGGGCUACACACGUGCUACAAUGGCGGUGACAAUGGGACGCUAAGGGGUAACCCUUCGCAAAUCUCAAAAAGCCGUCUCAGUUCGGAUUGGGCUCUGCAACUCGAGCCCAUGAAGUUGGAAUCGCUAGUAAUCGUGGAUCAGCACGCCACGGUGAAUACGUUCCCGGGCCUUGUACACACCG
This 435-nucleotide ribosomal RNA is filed under the name uncultured bacterium. RNAcentral describes it as "bacterial SSU rRNA". It matches the Rfam family "Bacterial small subunit ribosomal RNA", at positions 958 to 1392 of the family's 1533-position model. The record is from RNAcentral.